Molecule: non-coding RNA, 730 nt
Organism: Hydra vulgaris (swiftwater hydra)
Lineage: Eukaryota; Metazoa; Cnidaria; Hydrozoa; Anthoathecata; Hydridae
Source: RefSeq, a predicted model, not a curated record
CCAACCUAGAAAACUUUGCAAAUGAUUUACUACAUUUGAUUAAAACAAUAAAGUUUUGGGAUAUAAAUAACCAUUUCCAAAAAGAACUCAAAAAAGACAAUAAAAUAAAAUCAAACCCUAAUAUUUUAGUUUUUAGACACAAGUUGUUGAAGAAAAAUAUUAGAUAAAUGUUUUUACUAAUUUAUUAUUGCUCUGUUCUUUAAGAACAUUGAGCACUCUAUUUGUAGAAUAUUUGUUUAUAUAUCGUCAAUUUGUUAUAUAUAGUCAAGCAUCUGCUUGACUAUAAGAGCAAGCAACUAGAAACAUUUUAUGUAAAAAUUUGAUAACUUUUACAUGAAAAUUUAAUAGAAUUUAAUGCAUACAAGUGGUGGUAUAUAAAUAAUAUAAACAUAUCAUGACAUCUAUGGCAUUACAUAUCAUAAGUUAUUCACAGUUAACUGAAAUUUAAUAAAUUACUGUAAUAUAUAUAUAUAUAUAUUUUUUUUUUAUUGAUAGCACAUUUCAGAUAGAUUGCCCAUAUGGAAUCUGGAUAAAUGUAUCCGAAAAUGAUUCACAAUUAUGCAUACAAAAGUUGGUAUUGGAGCACAACCAUGUCGUUGACAAAGAAUUAUUUAACAAUCUGCCAAAAAGAAGAAAAUUAAAUUCCGAUGAAAAAGAAGAUGUUUGCCGUCUUUUGAGUAUGCACGGAAGCAAGUGGCUUAUUAAAGAUCAAGUUAUGAAGGAAACAGGU